AUUGAACGCUGGCGGCAGGCCUAACACAUGCAAGUCGAGCGGAGUGGCGGACGGGUGAGUAAUGCUUAGGAAUCUGCCUGGUAGUGGGGGAUAACGUCCGGAAACGGGCGCUAAUACCGCAUACUAUCAGAUGAGCCUAGGUCGGAUUAGCUAGUUGGUGGGGUAAAGGCCUACCAGGGCGACGAUCCGUAACUGGUCUGAGAGGAUGAUCAGCCACACUGGACAUGGGACACGGGCCAGACUCCUACGGGAGGCAGCAGUGGGGAAUAUUGGACAAUGGGCGAAAGCCUGAUCCAGCCAUGCCGCGUGUGUGACGAAGGUCUUCGGAUUUUAAGGGACUUUAAGUUGGGAGGCGUUACCGACAGAAUAAGCACCGGCUAACUUCGUGCCAGCAGCCGCGGUAAUUC
RNAcentral lists this ribosomal RNA (407 nucleotides) under uncultured bacterium. Its description in RNAcentral is "partial 16S ribosomal RNA". It matches the Rfam family "Bacterial small subunit ribosomal RNA", at positions 30 to 526 of the family's 1533-position model. The record is from RNAcentral.